Long non-coding RNA from Photinus pyralis (common eastern firefly), 733 nucleotides. RefSeq lists it as uncharacterized. The record is from RefSeq and is a predicted model, not a curated record. The transcript has 2 exons. NCBI's taxonomy places the organism in Eukaryota, Metazoa, Arthropoda, Insecta, Coleoptera, Lampyridae.
AGAAAAUUAAACUCAAAGGCUGAAACCGUUGUUUACUUUUUCAUCAUUAAAGUGAACGUUUUUUUUUUGUAAUUCUUCCUGCUCCUACUAUUUCAAAAUAUGAAAAUGGAACUUCAAUUGAAAGUUUCGUUCAUGGAAUCGACUCUCAUGUUCGGUCUGGCUAUUGGGUGAAAUGGAACUUAUUGCUCUGGCUUAGCUGAUCCCAAUGCAGGGGGGUUUGGGAUGGAAAACUUGGUCUUGGGCUUGCUGUUGAAACAGUUACACAGUACUCAUAUAGACGUUAGCGUAAUUAAGACCAAUGGCCACUUUCAAAGUACAUAACCAGAUCGAAAGCCUCGGGUCACUUUUCGUAUUGCAAUUGAAGAUAAAGUGAUUCCAAGAUGAGAAGUUCCACAAAAAACUUGAGACAAAUACCAACAGAAAUAUCUUUUGGGUUGUUUUAGAAAAGCAGACCCAUUCUGCCAAGAGAGACAAGGGUUAAACUUCCUUACAAAUCCGUGGCGGAUAUUCAGUAAUUAGAAGGACAUCCUAUUUAUCACAAGAAGCAAAUGCACAUUAGUAGAUUUUGUAGUAUCAAUUUGUUAAACUAUUUGUGUUUGUUUAUCUGCAGUAUAAGUUAUGCAUGCACGAAUUUGCUUAUGCUUUGUGAUGUAUUUAUGUUCUUAGAUAUAAAUUUCUGGUUUCCAAGAGGUUCGAAUUUGGCAAAUAAACAGAUAAUUAAAUAUUCAAUGUU